AAUGACACUGUGGCUUCCAUUUCUUUUCUUUUUGGCAAUAUCCAGAGGUGUCCUCUCAGAGGUCCAGCUGGUGGAGUCCGGAGGAGAGGUCAAAAGGCCUGAAGAGUCCCUCCGCCUCUCUUGUCAAGCCUCCGGGUUCACUUUUGGUAGCUACGCCAUGCACUGGGUGAGACAGGCUCCUGGCAAGGGUCUCGAAUGGGUGGGAGCAAUAAGCAGUGAUGGAAGCUACCAGAUCUAUGCCAGCUCGGUGCAAGGACGCUUCACCAUCUCCUGGAGCAAGCCUUCCAUCAUGCUGUAUCUGCAAAUGAACAGGCUGAAAGCUGAAGACACAGCCGUGUAUUACUGUACGAGACACACAGUGAGAGAAAGCAGCUGGCCACGUGGGACACUCAUGUCAAUUCCCAAACACCACUGA
Molecule: non-coding RNA, 415 nt
Organism: Heteronotia binoei (common prickly gecko)
Lineage: Eukaryota; Metazoa; Chordata; Lepidosauria; Squamata; Gekkonidae
Source: the annotation of a RefSeq genome assembly